UACAGGGGGUGCAACCGUUGCUCGGAAUUAUUGGGCGUAAAGCGCGUGUAGGCGGUCCGGUAAGUCCGCUGUGAAAGUCGGGGGCUCAACCCUCGGAUGCCGGUGGAUACUGUCGGGCUUGAGUACGGAAGAGGCGAGUGGAAUUCCUGGUGUAGCGGUGAAAUGCGCAGAUAUCAGGAGGAACACCAAUGGCGAAGGCAGCUCGCUGGGACGUGACUGACGCUGAGACGCGAAAGCGUGGGGAGCAAACAGG
RNAcentral lists this ribosomal RNA (253 nucleotides) under uncultured bacterium. RNAcentral's name for it is "partial 16S ribosomal RNA". It matches the Rfam family "Bacterial small subunit ribosomal RNA", at positions 524 to 776 of the family's 1533-position model. The record is from RNAcentral.